This 467-nucleotide ribosomal RNA is filed under the name uncultured bacterium. RNAcentral's name for it is "partial 16S ribosomal RNA". It matches the Rfam family "Bacterial small subunit ribosomal RNA", at positions 28 to 507 of the family's 1533-position model. The record is from RNAcentral.
GAUGAACGCUGGCGGCGUGCUUAACACAUGCAAGUCGAACGAUGAAGCCCAGCUUGCUGGGUGGGUUAGUGGCGAACGGGUGAGUAACACGUGAGCAACCUGCCCCUGACUCUGGGAUAAGCGCUGGAAACGGCGUCUAAUACUGGAUAUGUCCCGUCACCGCAUGGUGUGCGGGUGGAAAGAUUUUUCGGUUGGGGAUGGGCUCGCGGCCUAUCAGCUUGUUGGUGGGGUAAUGGCUCACCAAGGCGUCGACGGGUAGCCGGCCUGAGAGGGUGACCGGCCACACUGGGACUGAGACACGGCCCAGACUCCUACGGGAGGCAGCAGUGGGGAAUAUUGCACAAUGGGCGGAAGCCUGAUGCAGCAACGCCGCGUGAGGGAUGACGGCCUUCGGGUUGUAAACCCCUUUUAGCAGGGAAGAAGCGAAAGUGACGGUACCUGCAGAAAAAGCACCGGCUAACUACGUG